This is a long non-coding RNA of Callithrix jacchus (white-tufted-ear marmoset), 1005 nucleotides long. RefSeq lists it as uncharacterized. Lineage: Eukaryota; Metazoa; Chordata; Mammalia; Primates; Cebidae. The record is from RefSeq and is a predicted model, not a curated record.
CAUCGCCCUCCGUGGACACGCCCUCUAGGCGUAACGUGCCCUGCGAGGAGUGAGAGUGCGGCCGGCCCUGGAAAUCAGCGAAUCUGUGCUCUGUGAGAGCUCCUGCGAGAGGAAACUGGGAGCCAGGGAGAACUAAAAUUCCCAUUUCAAAGGAAAUUGUUUAUUGAGCAGCAGAGCGGGAAUGAGAGGCCAUGUUUGUCGUUUUUGACACUCCCCCUUCUUUCUGGACCAUCCAUCGCCUACUUCGGAGGAGCAAACGGAAUGCAUGGUGGUAUUUCUAAGGGCACAAGCAGGAAAUUUAUUGAAAACUUGGAGCAGAAAUCUUUAAUGUACUUCUGACCACGCUUCCUUGUGUUGAGUAGGAUCCAAUGGCUGCUUUAAUGAACUAGUUUUAAUGAAACUAGUUAUUAAACUUGCUUGAGAUGGCUAGUCAGACGUCGGAAAUAAAAGAAAAAGUCAGUAGCUAGACUUUGACAAUUUUUUUUUUAAAGGUAAAAAAACGUGAACCCUUGUCUGCCUUAAGGUCAAGGUAGCACUUAUGUUCUUUGACAAAACCAAGGAAUACGAAAAUCUUUUAUUAAAACAACGGAUAAAACUUAAAAAUAAUCUGGUACAAUGAUUCGGUCUUGCUGGAAUCAGUAAAUUAAAAUACUAAUGCAGAAUGAUAAAAUCAAGAGCAUUAAACAUUCCUAAUGACAUGCCAAGCUAUUUUAGAGACUGCGGCAAAAGCUUCUGUACAAGUGGGUUUGAUGUAACGCUCUGGUAGCAAGAAUCCGUAUCUGCCCUUAUCUCGAAGUUCAAUUGUAAACGAAUAUUUGAUGCCCAAAUCAUAGAGCCAAUCAUCCGCACCUCCAGGAGCUAGGUCUGAAAGAAGAAAGAAGUUACUUUUUGAAAUAUAGGGGUUUCAAAUUAAUUAAUAAACUGAGAAUUGUUUGAUUUAAAUGUUUGUUUGGAUACCUUUACAUUUUUUUCAGUUUUCAGCUAAUAUAAACAACUUUGCAGUGA